Molecule: ribosomal RNA, 478 nt
Filed under: uncultured organism
Description: partial 16S ribosomal RNA
Rfam family: Bacterial small subunit ribosomal RNA
Source: RNAcentral
GUACACUCCUGCGGGAGGCAGCAGUGGGGAAUAUUGCACAAUGGGCGCAAGCCUGAUGCAGCCAUGCCGCGUGUAUGAAGAAGGCCUUCGGGUUGUAAAGUACUUUCAGCGGGGAGGAAGGCGAUAAGGUUAAUAACCUUGUUGAUUGACGUUACCCGCAGAAGAAGCACCGGCUAACUCCGUGCCAGCAGCCGCGGUAAUACGGAGGGUGCAAGCGUUAAUCGGAAUUACUGGGCGUAAAGCGCACGCAGGCGGUCUGUCAGGUCGGAUGUGAAAUCCCCGGGCUCAACCUGGGAACUGCAUUCGAAACUGGCAGGCUAGAGUCUUGUAGAGGGGGGUAGAAUUCCAGGUGUAGCGGUGAAAUGCGUAGAGAUCUGGAGGAAUACCGGUGGCGAAGGCGGCCCCCUGGACAAAGACUGACGCUCAGGUGCGAAAGCGUGGGGAGCAAACAGGAUUAGAUACCCUUGUAGUCCCAUGA